This is a non-coding RNA of Vicugna pacos (alpaca), 2218 nucleotides long. The record is from RefSeq and is a predicted model, not a curated record. NCBI's taxonomy places the organism in Eukaryota, Metazoa, Chordata, Mammalia, Artiodactyla, Camelidae.
CAGGGCUUUUGCACGUAUCUUCUAACUGGCUCUUCCUGCGAUGCUGGCAGAAGUCACUUGACAGAUGAAGAAAGCAAGGCUUGGGGAGCAGAGGUCUGCAAGUGAAUGAACUUGGGCUGCCUGCUCCCUGCUCCCACCCCAUGUAGCUUGUGGCCCUGGUUAGGACGCCGCAUGGAUUAUGGUCAGGUGCAGGGUCCCGCCAGUCGAGAAGGUCUUCCAGAAUAGAGGGGUAAUCCAGGACUGAGGUCACCGUGGGUGAGGGGAACAGUCAUGGAGAACCAUUAGACACAGCAUCCUGUCUUCCCCCGGGGGUUAGGGAAACAGCUUUCUCAGGAGGAGGUGGCCCUGUUCACUCACAGGGUUCUUUACCUUGGCUCCCCAAUUCACACAUGACAGUAUUUUCACUUUCCACACAACCCUGGAGAGUGAUGGGAGAGGGGGAUCCCACACACUGCCCGGCUCUUGUUUGGGGAUGGAACAGAGCUCCCCGCCUUUCACUCUCAUAAAAAAGCAGCUGUGAUUCACUGAGGGCUUACUAUGCACCAGAUGUGCUGAGCACUUUAUAUGCCUUCAGCUCAUUUAAUGCUGGGAAGACACCAUAAUUUUUUCCACUUUGCAAACAAGGAUUUAAGGCUGGAAGGUUAAGUAAGUAGCUAUCGGUCAGGACAUUAAGUGAGGAAGCCAGGAGCGGAGCCCGGGCCCAUCUGGGUCCUGGCAGCUAUUACCCUACCGCCGCCCCACACAGGCCACAGGAAGGAGGCCAGUUCACACCUCCACCCCCUUGCGCCAGCUAGAAACACAGUGCCCUAAAACCAGUCCAUCCACUAGGACUCGAGCCCUCCAGGAGGCAACAUUCAUGCCCCUGCCUUGGCUUCAGGGGCUGCCCUGACCAGAGCGCCUCAUCCCCUGGGGACCCGGGGUUUCCUGUGCAGAGAUAGCUGCCAGGCCUCCCCUCCCUGAAGGUUCAUCCCACCCAGUGGGCUGUUCCAGAGAGGGCACAUCCAGGACCUGGUGCCCACCUGCAGACACGGGCAGUGGGGCUGAGGUCCAGCCUUUUCCUUCAUCAGGUUGGGUGGGGCAAACCAGUCAGGGUGGUGGCCUUGCCUGGGGACUGCAGCUGAGUGGCACGCACAGGGCCACUCCCUGCCCUGCCUCCAGCUCCUGGGUCAGACCUCACACUUGGAUCACAGAGCCCCUUCUUGCUACGUAGGAUGCGGCCUCAAGGAUGCUCUGGGAUGCCAGUCUUCACUGGACCCCUGGUGUUAGGGACAUUCCUCACCAUCCCGGCUGCAUCCACCCCUUACACAUCCCACCUCUGCUCACUUGGUCCCUCUGGUCUUGAAGGGAAACGAGGCCAAUCGUGGAGUGUGCACGGUGCGAGGCAGCCUAGGAAAAACCUUUAUCCUUCCUCACCUGACCUUCCCAGCCACCUUGACAGUGGGUGGGGCAUGGUUUAUUACUCCUCAUGUCAUAGCUGGUGACAGCUCAUAUUUGGAUUGGAGCUGAUAUUUGAGCAUUUAUUUUACAACAGGCACUCGUCAGAGCAUUUAAAUCGCUCAGCUUGUUGAGUCUUUACAACCUUGUAGUGUAGGUUCUAUUAGCCCAUUUACAGCUGAGGAAAAUGAGGCACAGAGACUCAUGAAGUAAACUGCUCGGCAGUGAACCCAGGUAGUCUGGCUCUUAACCCCUGUGCUGUCCAUAGUUGGGGAGAGGUGGGCGCUGCAGGGUGGGCUUCUCAGCUACAGGAGUGAAGUCAGGUCUCUAGAACACAACUUCCCAGGCAAAUGCAAGAAAAAGAUCUGCAGGAAUGCAGACUGCCCGAGAAGGUAAGUUCCACAAGGGCUGGACGUUUAUCUGCGGCAUUCCCAGAGCCUAGAUCACUGCCUGGCACAUAGUAGGUGCUCAAAAAACAUUUGUCACAUAAGUGAGUAAAUGAACUUGAAUGAAUGAGGGAAUACUCUGACCUCGACUGACUCACCUUCUCACGUCCUUCCUUCAAGACCUUCCCGGCAUUAUUCUGCAGGUGGAGGCUCAUGGAAAUGUGGGGCUGACCUGGGUGAGACUUGCGGGGGAUCCUCUCUCAAUUGCUGGUAUCGAGUCUCUGGAUAAAUAGCCUAUCAGCUUCAGUUUCUCCAUCUGCCAAAAAUAACCCCUACUCCAAACACAUGAAGAGUACCUAGGAUGCUGUAAACACUGAAUAAAUGUACCUACAACCAGU